AUUGUAUCCACGAUUGGGGAAUUUUCCGCAAUGGGCGAAAGCCUGACGGAGCAAGACCGCGUGAGGGAGGAAGGCUCUUGGGUCGUAAACCUCUUUUGUCAGGGAAGAACACAAUGACGGUACCUGACGAAUCAGCAUCGGCUAACUCCGUGCCAGCAGCCGCGGUAAUACGGAGGAUGCAAGCGUUAUCCGGAAUUAUUGGGCGUAAAGCGUCCGUAGAUGGUUUUGCCAGUCGGCUGUCAAAGCACAGGGCUUAACCCUGUAAAGGCAGUGGAAACUACAAGACUGGAGUGCAGUAGGGGCAGAGGGAAUUGAAAUGCGUAGAGAUUGGGAAGAACACCCGUGGCGAAAGCGCUCUGCUGGACUGCCACUGACAUUGAGGGACGAAAGCUAGGGGAGCGAAUGGGAUUAGAUACCCCAGUAGUCAAUCGUGGAUACAAU
RNAcentral lists this ribosomal RNA (441 nucleotides) under uncultured cyanobacterium. RNAcentral's name for it is "bacterial SSU rRNA". It matches the Rfam family "Bacterial small subunit ribosomal RNA", at positions 341 to 810 of the family's 1533-position model. The record is from RNAcentral. Lineage: Bacteria; Bacillati; Cyanobacteriota.